Molecule: ribosomal RNA, 546 nt
Filed under: uncultured bacterium
Lineage: Bacteria
Description: partial 16S ribosomal RNA
Rfam family: Bacterial small subunit ribosomal RNA
Source: RNAcentral
UGGGGAAUUUUGGACAAUGGGCGAAAGCCUGAUCCAGCAAUGCCGCGUGUGUGAAGAAGGCCUUCGGUUGUAAAGCACUUUUGUCCGGAAAGAAAUCCUUGGCUCUAAUACAGUCGGGGGAUGACGGUACCGGAAGAAUAAGCACCGGCUAACUACGUGCCAGCAGCCGCGGUAAUACGUAGGGUGCAAGCGUUAAUCGGAAUUACUGGGCGUAAAGCGUGCGCAGGCGGUUUGCUAAGACCGAUGUGAAAUCCCCGGGCUCAACCUGGGAACUGCAUUGGUGACUGGCAGGCUAGAGUAUGGCAGAGGGGGGUAGAAUUCCACGUGUAGCAGUGAAAUGCGUAGAGAUGUGGAGGAAUACCGAUGGCGAAGGCAGCCCCCUGGGCCAAUACUGACGCUCAUGCACGAAAGCGUGGGGAGCAAACAGGAUUAGAUACCCUGGUAGUCCACGCCCUAAACGAUGUCAACUAGUUGUUGGGGAUUCAUUUCCUUAGUAACGUAGCUAACGCGUGAAGUUGACCGCCUGGGGAGUACGGUCGCAAGAUU